CCUGACUUUGGGACGGAUGUCUGGGAGCAUGGCCAGGAACUGCAGCUCAGCCUUGGACAGAACCUGCAUGUAUAUCAGAAGAGGUUCAAGAACAGAGCACUCAGUAAAAAGUCCCGAUCCAUGGAGGUGCGUGCAAGCAGCCACUGCACCUUGGCUUCGUGGAUCCAGACGACGAGGCCUUUGGCGUCUGGGUGCAGCAGGCUGAGCCUGUAGUCCACCUCCGGCGGGAAGUACCACCGCGCCACCGGCUGCCUGCCGAGGCUAGGCUGCAGUCAUGCACAGCACCACUCCGAUCGAGUCAGUUCAACAACAAGACAACAAGAACAAAUCAAGAACAAAAGUAGACGUGCGUCGUACGUACCGGGCAGACGGGGUGGAUCUUGGUGAGCGUGGUCUCCGGAUCGCCGAGGCCCCGCGCGGAGAGGUCGAGGAAGUAGUAGCCCUGGUAGCGGAGGCGGUUGAGGUAGCGGCCCUCGUAGCCGCCCUCGUGCGGCGGGUAGAUGGCCAGCGCCUUGUGCUUCUCCACGUCGUCCAGCCACUUGCCCAGGUCCGGCCGCACCAGGUCCCCGCCCACGAAGUCCAGCAACGAGCUGCGCACGGACACCGCGCCACGGCCGCCCCGCGGCCCGCCGCGCCGGCCGCUGAGGAGCGAGGGCGCCGGGACCGGAGACACGGGCACGGACACCGCGCGCGCCGCCGCCGCUGCUGCCGACCACAUCCUGCUGCUUCUACUGCCUGCGGCCGUGCGCGUGUGGGUGGAUGGGAGUGGGAAGUCGCUUGCUUUUGAGCAUGUGGCGGGAAG
RNAcentral lists this long non-coding RNA (802 nucleotides) under Sorghum bicolor (sorghum). Its description in RNAcentral is "long non-coding RNA (SBIC_LNC005808)". Lineage: Eukaryota; Viridiplantae; Streptophyta; Magnoliopsida; Poales; Poaceae. The record is from RNAcentral.